AAAUAAAAACAAAAUCCAAGAUAUUUAUUUAGUUGUAGUAGUUGUUAAUUUACUAAAUUACUCAUGCAAAAAUUCAUUUAGUUAGUUUUAAACUACCCUUACAAUGUUGUAGUUCACACAAUGCUUCCCAAUUAAUAAUAUAGAUAAACCAACCCAAGAUAAAUAAUCGUACUAACAUCAUACUAUCAUAUAUUAUGAGAGCUCUUACUUUU
This 212-nucleotide small RNA is filed under the name Arabidopsis thaliana (thale cress). RNAcentral describes it as "ATSL279190". The record is from RNAcentral. Lineage: Eukaryota; Viridiplantae; Streptophyta; Magnoliopsida; Brassicales; Brassicaceae.